UACGUUCCCGGGCCUUGUACACACCGCCCGUCAAGCCAUGGAAGCUGGGGGUGCCUGAAGUCGGCGACCGCAAGGAGCUGCCUAGGGUAAAACUAGUAACUAGGGCU
RNAcentral lists this ribosomal RNA (107 nucleotides) under uncultured bacterium. RNAcentral's name for it is "partial 16S ribosomal RNA". It matches the Rfam family "Bacterial small subunit ribosomal RNA", at positions 1367 to 1482 of the family's 1533-position model. The record is from RNAcentral.